This 1152-nucleotide long non-coding RNA is filed under the name Olea europaea subsp. europaea. The record is from RNAcentral. Lineage: Eukaryota; Viridiplantae; Streptophyta; Magnoliopsida; Lamiales; Oleaceae.
AUUUCUAGUCGCCCAAAAUGGAACCCCAUCCGGCUGCAUUCCGGCCACCAUGGCCACCGGAUCCGACCACCAAUAGAACCACCUCACUCCCCUCUAUAACCUACACCCAACCGCCGGCAAUAAACUCGCCGGAAUCUGAUGAAAAUCAAGCCCAAAACCCGAAUCUGCCGCAAUGUUUCUCUGCCGGAAAUCACUGUUCCGGUGAUACCCACGCCGGCGCACCACUGCCGGUCGAUAGAUCUCUUCCAGACGAUCACAACCAUGGUCGCCGUUCAUCAUUUGGAGCCUCCAAUCGGCCGGAAUUGCAUCAGAAAGUUCCGCCUGCGCUGCCUGCCGAAUUUCAAUUUUUCGGCGCCUCCGGUGGGACCCACGGUCGCGGACCACCGCCGGUCGGUAGCCCUCCUCCAGAUGAUCACAACCAUGGUACCCACUCACCAUUUGGAGCCCACAAUCGAUCAGAAUUUCAUCUGAAAGUCCCGCCUGCGCUGCCUGCCGAAUCGCUGCCUCCCUUUCAAUUUUCCGGCGCCACCAGUGGGACCCACAGUGGCGGACCACCCAAUUUCUACUCCUCUCAUCAUGGGCAACAUCCACAUCAUAUGGGUCUUCAUCAAUUUUACCCCAAUCUCGCAAAUCGAACGGAUUCAAUCCAUCAAGGUCAAAAGUCCGAUUCUCUCUUAAUUGACCCCACAAAUGUGUUCGAUUCUACAAUUAAACGUGGGGUAAAUGAAAUUCAAGCCCCAAAUACUCUGGGUAAUGUUCCAAUUGCUGAGAUUACAUCAUUAGUUUGCCGAAUCUUGGAAUCAAACGGUGUUCUUCACACCUCUAGCGCUGCUGGUCAGAUUUCUUCCAUUUCUGAGCAUUAUUUGAGAAAAUUGACACCUCCAAUGAACUCAGCAGGUCCAAAAACAUCAGAAGGGACUAUCAAUUCGACCAAAAAUAUUACAUUGGAUUUCGUGCCAAAAUGCACACAAACCGAGGCAGUUGGUACUGUUGUUUCUGGGCAGAAUUCUGCAUUUUUGACACUGCCAUCAUCUCCAGAGCAUAUGAAAACCUUUGGAGAGACCUUUGCUCCGAUUGAAAAUGACGGGAAAUCUGCAUUGGGAAAUGUGCCAAGUGGCACACAUAUCGAGGCAAAUCCUUCUAAUGUUUUUG